UUCCGGUUGACCCUGCCAGAGGUUACUGCUAUCGAGGUCCGACUAAGCCAUGCGAGUCGAAUGUAGCAAUACAUGGCAUACUGCUCAGUAACACGUGGACAACCUACCCUGGGCACGGGGAUAAACCCGGGAAACUGGGUAUAAUACCCGAUAGUUCUGGGAUGCUGGAAUGCUCCCAGGACGAAAGCUCCGGCGGUCCAGGAUGGGUCUGCGGCCUAUCAGGUAGUAGUGGGUGUAACGUACCUACUAGCCUACGACGGGUACGGGUUGUGAGAGCAAGAGCCCGGAGAUGGAUUCUGAGACACGAAUCCAGGCCCUACGGGGUGCAGCAGGCGCGAAAACUUUACAAUGCUGGCAACAGCGAUAAGGGGACCUCGAGUGCCCAGGAUACAUCUUGGCUGUCG
Molecule: ribosomal RNA, 404 nt
Filed under: uncultured archaeon
Lineage: Archaea
Description: bacterial SSU rRNA
Rfam family: Archaeal small subunit ribosomal RNA
Source: RNAcentral